GGCAAUGGCGCGGACUACUCUGCAGUCGAGCGAUGGAUUAAAAUUUUGCUCUUAUGAAGUUGCGGCGGACGGGUGAUGAACACGUGGGUGACCUGCCCAUAAGACUGGGAUAACUCCGGGAAAGGGGGGCUUAUACCGGAUAACUUUUUGAACCGCAGGGUUCCCAAUUGAACGGCGGCUUCGGCUGUCACUUAUGGAUGGACCCGCGUCGAAUUAUCUAGGUUCUGAGGUGACGACUCACCAAGGUGACAAUGCAUAACCGACCUGACAGGUUGAUCAGCCACACUGGGACUAACACACGGCCCGGACUCCUACGGGAAGCAGCCAUAAGGAAUCUUCGACAAUGGACGAAAGUCUGACGGAGCAACGCCGCGUGAAUGAUGAAGGCUUUCUGGUCGUAAAAAUCUGUUGUUAUGUAAGAACAAGUGCUCGUUGAAUAACCUGGCACCUUGACGGUACCUAACAAUACAGCCCCGGCUAACUACGUGCCAGCAUCGGUGGUAAUACGUAGGUGGCAAGCGGUAUCCGGAAUUAUUGGGCGUUGAGCGUGCGCAUGUGGUUUCUUAAAUCUGAUUUGAAAACCCACGGCUCAACCGUGAAGGGUCAUUAGAUUCUGAGAAACUUGAGUGCAGAAGACGACAUUGUAAUUCCAUGUGUAGCGGUGAGAUGCGAAAGAGAUAUGGAGCGAACACCAGUGGCGAACGUGACUUUCUGGUCUGUAACUGACACUGACGCGCUAAAGCGUGGGGAGCAAAUAGGAGUACGAUACCCUGGUAGUCCACGCUGUACACUGAUGAGUGCUAAGUGUUAGAGGGUAUCUCGCACUUUAUUGCUGGAGGUUCAGCGCAUGAAGCACUACCGCCGUGGGUAGUACCGCCAGCAACGCUGAGACUCAUACGACUUGACGGGGGCCCGCGGCAACGCUGAUGGAGCAUGUGGCUUUACUUCCAAGCACUACGACGAACCGUGACUCGCGUCUUGACAUCAUCUGAUGUCGUGA
Molecule: ribosomal RNA, 1000 nt
Filed under: Bacillus sp. MRBI2
Lineage: Bacteria; Bacillati; Bacillota; Bacilli; Caryophanales; Bacillaceae
Description: bacterial SSU rRNA
Rfam family: Bacterial small subunit ribosomal RNA
Source: RNAcentral